RNAcentral lists this ribosomal RNA (322 nucleotides) under uncultured eukaryote. RNAcentral's name for it is "partial 18S ribosomal RNA". It matches the Rfam family "Eukaryotic small subunit ribosomal RNA", at positions 1470 to 1796 of the family's 1831-position model. The record is from RNAcentral.
CCCUUAGAUGUUCUGGGCUGCACGCGCGCUACACUGAUGCGCUCAACGAGUUUAUGAACUUGCCCGGAAGGGUUGGUUAAUCUUUUUAAAACGCAUCGUGAUGGGGAUAGAUUAUUGCAAUUAUUAAUCUUCAACGAGGAAUUCCUAGUAAGCGCGAGUCAUCAGCUCGUGCUGAUUACGUCCCUGCCCUUUGUACACACCGCCCGUCGCACCUACCGAUUGAAUGGUCCGGUGAAAUCUCGGGACGGCGGCUUGGUCGCUUGCGUCCGACUGCUGAAACUUGAUUAAACCAUAUCAUUUAGAGGAAGGUGAAGUCGUAACA